GAUGAACGCUGGCGGCGUGCCUAAUACAUGCCAGUCGAGCGAACAGACGAGGAGCUUGCUCCUUCGACGUUAGCGGCGGACGGGUGAGUAACACGUAGGUAACCUACCUAUAAGACUGGGAUAACUUCGGGAAACCGGAGCUAAUACCGGAUAAUAUUUCGAACCGCAUGGUUCGAUAGUGAAAGAUGGCUUUGCUAUCACUUAUAGAUGGACCUGCGCCGUAUUAGCUAGUUGGUAAGGUAACGGCUUACCAAGGCAACGAUACGUAGCCGACCUGAGAGGGUGAUCGGCCACACUGGAACUGAGACACGAUCCAGACUCCUACGGGAGGCAGCAGUAGGGAAUCUUCCGCAAUGGGCGAAAGCCUGCCGGAGCAACGCCGCGUGAGUGAUGAAGGUCUUCGGAUCGUAAAACUCUGUUAUUAGGGAAGAACAAACGUGUAAGUAACUGUGCACGUCUUGACGGUACCUAAUCAGAAAGCCACGGCUAACUACGU
Molecule: ribosomal RNA, 496 nt
Filed under: uncultured bacterium
Lineage: Bacteria
Description: partial 16S ribosomal RNA
Rfam family: Bacterial small subunit ribosomal RNA
Source: RNAcentral